Molecule: ribosomal RNA, 731 nt
Filed under: uncultured bacterium
Lineage: Bacteria
Description: bacterial SSU rRNA
Rfam family: Bacterial small subunit ribosomal RNA
Source: RNAcentral
GAUGAACGCUGACAGAAUGCUUAACACAUGCAAGUCUACUUGAAGCUAACUUCGGUUAGUGGAGGGUGGCGGACGGGUGAGUAACGCGUAAAGAACUUGCCUCACAGUUUGGACAACAUUUGGAAACGAAUGCUAAUACUAAAUAUUAUGAUACUUCUGCAUGGAAGAAUCAUGAAAGCUAUAUGCGCUGUGAGAGAGCUUUGCGUCCCAUUAGCUAGUUGGAGAGGUAACGGCUCACCAAGGCGAUGAUGGGUAGCCGGCCUGAGAGGGUGAACGGCCACAAGGGGACUGAGACACGGCCCUUACUCCUACGGGAGGCAGCAGUGGGGAAUAUUGGACAAUGGACCAAAAGUCUGAUCCAGCAAUUCUGUGUGCAUGAUGAAGUUUUUCGGAAUGUAAAGUGCUUUCAGUUGGGAAGAAGCAAGUGACGGUACCAACAGAAGAAGCGACGGCUAAAUACGUGCCAGCAGCCGCGGUAAUACGUAUGUCGCAAGCGUUAUCCGGAUUUAUUGGGCGUAAAGCGCGUCUAGGUGGUUAUGUAAGUCUGAUGUGAAAAUGCGGGGCUCAACUCCGUAUUGCGUUGGAAACUGUAUGACUAGAGUACUGGAGAGGUAAGCGGAACUACAAGUGUAGAGGUGAAAUUCGUAGAUAUUUGUAGGAAUGCCGAUGGGGAAGCCAGCUUACUGGACAGAUACUGACGCUAAAGCGCGAAAGCGUGGGUAGCAAACAGG